This 27-nucleotide ribosomal RNA is filed under the name Collybiopsis confluens. RNAcentral describes it as "partial 28S ribosomal RNA". The record is from RNAcentral. Lineage: Eukaryota; Fungi; Basidiomycota; Agaricomycetes; Agaricales; Omphalotaceae.
UGACAACUGACCUCAAAUCAGGUAGGA